Molecule: long non-coding RNA, 361 nt
Filed under: Mytilus galloprovincialis (Mediterranean mussel)
Lineage: Eukaryota; Metazoa; Mollusca; Bivalvia; Mytilida; Mytilidae
Source: RNAcentral
GCAAAACAUAAAUUACAUUUAUAGCAAUUAUUACUUGGUCGGACUUGUUAAUUUAGAAACAAUUAUUUCCGCCUACCGGUAAAUUGUAAAGCCUAUCACAUAUGUUAUACCUUAGCAUAAUAGCUUUCGCAAAACAUUUUUUUUAACCUCGAUGUUUUAAUACUUCGAAUUUUACCCUUUGGACCAUCACACUUUAGCGUGAUACACCAUCGUACUUUAGCGAACAAACAACCAACGCACUUUAGCGUGAGACACCAUCGUACUUUAGCGUAGACCAUCGCACUUUAGCGUAGACCAUCGCACUUUAGCGUAACCAUCGCACUUUAGAGUACCAUCGCACUUUAGAGUCCUACAAAUAUAC